This 256-nucleotide non-coding RNA is filed under the name Anaerocolumna jejuensis. RNAcentral's name for it is "T-box sequence". It matches the Rfam family "T-box leader". Rfam says of the family: Uncharged tRNA acts as the effector for transcription antitermination of genes in the T-box leader family. T-boxes are found upstream of many aminoacyl-tRNA synthetase genes and some amino acid biosynthetic genes usually in Gram-positive bacteria. Lineage: Bacteria; Bacillati; Bacillota; Clostridia; Lachnospirales; Lachnospiraceae. The record is from RNAcentral.
ACAAAAGCGUUGACGAGGAGGAGUACAUGUUAUUCCGGAUGAACAGAGAGAAGAUGGCUGGUGAAAAUCUUCGUGAUGGGAACAUGGAAGUAGCCUUUGAGCUUUGGAUUGAACGGAUAGAUUCUUAGUAGACUCCAACGGAGAUUUCCACCGUUAUCAGGGAAAGCGGUAUCGGAGCAUAGUUGUUCCCGUAUUGUAUGAGUGCAGAAGUCUAUUCUGAAAUUAGGUGGUACCACGGACACGUUUCGCCCUAAGC